AGCGAACGCUGGCGGCAUGCCUAACACAUGCAAGUCGAACGAGACCUUCGGGUCUAGUGGCGCACGGGUGCGUAACGCGUGGGAACCUGCCCUUAGGCUCGGAAUAACUCCCCGAAAGGGGUGCUAAUACCGGAUAAUGUCUUCGGACCAAAGAUUUAUCGCCUUUGGAUGGGCCCGCGUUGGAUUAGCUAGUUGGUAGGGUAAAAGCCUACCAAGGCGACGAUCCAUAGCUGGUCUGAGAGGAUGAUCAGCCACACUGGGACUGAGACACGGCCCAGACUCCUACGGGAGGCAGCAGUGGGGAAUAUUGGACAAUGGGCGAAAGCCUGAUCCAGCAAUGCCGCGUGAGUGAUGAAGGCCUUAGGGUUGUAAAGCUCUUUUACCCGGGAUGAUAAUGACAGUACCGGGAGAAUAAGCUCCGGCUAACUCCGUG
Molecule: ribosomal RNA, 433 nt
Filed under: uncultured bacterium
Lineage: Bacteria
Description: partial 16S ribosomal RNA
Rfam family: Bacterial small subunit ribosomal RNA
Source: RNAcentral